This 253-nucleotide ribosomal RNA is filed under the name uncultured bacterium. RNAcentral describes it as "partial 16S ribosomal RNA". It matches the Rfam family "Bacterial small subunit ribosomal RNA", at positions 524 to 776 of the family's 1533-position model. The record is from RNAcentral.
UACAGAGGGGGCAAGCGUUGUUCGGAAUUACUGGGCGUAAAGGGCGCGUAGGCGGCCUUCUAAGUCGAACGUGAAAUCCCCGGGCUCAACCCGGGAACUGCGUCCGAUACUGGAAGGCUUGAAUCCGGGAGAGGGAUGCGGAAUUCCAGGUGUAGCGGUGAAAUGCGUAGAUAUCAGGAGGAACACCGGUGGCGAAGGCGGAUCUCUGGGCCUUACCUGACGCUGAGGCGCGAAAGCUAGGGGAGCGAACAGG